This 472-nucleotide ribosomal RNA is filed under the name uncultured bacterium. RNAcentral's name for it is "bacterial SSU rRNA". It matches the Rfam family "Bacterial small subunit ribosomal RNA", at positions 329 to 793 of the family's 1533-position model. The record is from RNAcentral.
CUACGCACUCCUACGGGAGGCAGCAGUGGGGAAUAUUGCACAAUGGGCGCAAGCCUGAUGCAGCCAUGCCGCGUGUAUGAAGAAGGCCUUCGGGUUGUAAAGUACUUUCAGCAGUGAGGAAGGUGGGUAUGUUAAUAGCAUACUCAUUUGACGUUAGCUGCAGAAGAAGCACCGGCUAACUCCGUGCCAGCAGCCGCGGUAAUACGGAGGGUGCGAGCGUUAAUCGGAAUUACUGGGCGUAAAGCGCAUGCAGGUGGUUUGUUAAGUCAGAUGUGAAAGCCCGGGGCUCAACCUCGGAAUUGCAUUUGAAACUGGCAAACUAGAGUACUGGUAGAGGGGGUAGAAUUUCAGGUGUAGCGGUGAAAUGCGUAGAGAUCUGAAGGAAUACCGGUGGCGAAGGCGGCCCCCUGGACAGAUACUGACACUCAGAUGCGAAAGCGUGGGGAGCAAACAGGAUUAGAUACCCUGGUAG